Molecule: ribosomal RNA, 447 nt
Filed under: uncultured bacterium
Lineage: Bacteria
Description: partial 16S ribosomal RNA
Rfam family: Bacterial small subunit ribosomal RNA
Source: RNAcentral
CCAGACUCCUACGGGAGGCAGCAGUGGGGAAUAUUGGGCAAUGGGCGCAAGCCUGACCCAGCAAUGCCGCGUGAAGGAAGAAGGCUUUCGGGUUGUAAACUUCUUUUACAGGGGAAGAGCAGAAGACGGUACCCUGAAAACAAGCCCCGGCUAACUACGUGCCAGCAGCCGCGGUAAUACGUAGGGGGCAAGCGUUAUCCGGAAUUACUGGGUGUAAAGGGAGAGUAGGCGGCAAGGUAAGCGAUAUGUGAAAGCCUUAGGCUUAACCUGAGGAUUGCAUAACGAACUAUCUAGCUAGAGUACAGGAGAGGAAAGCGGAAUUCCUAGUGUAGCGGUGAAAUGCGUAGAUAUUAGGAAGAACACCAGUGGCGAAGGCGGCUUUCUGGACUGAAACUGACGCUGAGGCUCGAAAGCGUGGGGAGCGAACAGGAUUAGAUACCCGAGUAC